RNAcentral lists this long non-coding RNA (3062 nucleotides) under Olea europaea subsp. europaea. The record is from RNAcentral. Lineage: Eukaryota; Viridiplantae; Streptophyta; Magnoliopsida; Lamiales; Oleaceae.
AUUCAUUCAUGAGAGUUUAAGCCCUUGUGCAGUUUCCACCCUGUUGAUCCCUAAAAAGGAUGGUUCAUGGAGAAUGUGUGUGGAUAGUCGUGCCAUCAAUAGGAUCACUGUAAAGUAUCAUUUUUCCAUUUCUAGACUUAACGAUAUGCUAGAUACAAUGGUUGGGGCUACAAUCUUUUCGAAGAUUGAUCUGAAGAGUGGAUACCAUCAGAUUAGAAUUCGCCUGGGUGAUGAGUGGAAAACCACCUUUAAAACGAAAGAUGAUCUUUAUGAAUGGUUGGUCAUGCCUUUUGGGCUAAGCAACGUGCCCAGUACCUUUAUGCGGGUAAUGACACAAACUCUUUGACUUUUCAUGGGUAAGUUUCUUGUUGUCUACUUUGAUAAUAUUCUCAUAUAUAGUAAGACUAAGGAGCAACACCUUAACCACCUUACACAAGUUUGAACUACCCUAUGUGCAACUAAUUUGUAUGCUAAUGUCAAGAAUUGCUCUUUUUUCAUCGAUACAGUUGUUUUCCUGGGGUUCAUUGUCUCUUCAACAGGGGUAUCUGCUAAACCUGCCAAGGUUCAGGCAAUUCUUGACUGGCCUGAACCUAAGACUAUUCAUGACGUCAGGAGCUUUCACGGCUUAGCUAUAUUUUACCGUCGCUUUAUCAAGUUGUUUAGCACUAUUAUGGCACCUAUUACGGAGUCCAUGAAAAAGGGGAGUUUCAUUGGACACAAGAAGCGGCUAAGGCCUUUAAGUUGGUCAAGAAACGAAUGACGAAGGCCCCUGUCAUGCGUCUUCCCGACUUUUCCAAAGUCUUUGAGGUCGAAUGUGAUGCCUUCGGGAUAGGUAUAGGCGGAGUCUUAAGUCAUGAUUGUCACCCUGUUGCCUACUUCAGUGAGAAGUUAAAUGAGACCAAACAACGGUACUCAACUUAUGAUAGGUGGUCCAGGCUUUGCGCUAUUGGCGCCACUAUUUGUUGCCCCAUGAGUUUGUCCUUUAUUCGGACCACGAGGCCCUUUGUUACCUCAACUCCCAGAAAAGAUUAAGCUCUAGGCAUGAUCAUUGGAUUGAAUAUUUGCAGGCAUAUUCAUUUGUUUUAAAACAUAAGAAGGGUGUGGAGAACCAAGCAGCUGAUGCAUUAAGUCGUCGUAUCUUCCUCUUGUCGAACAUGAGUAUCAAGGUCAUCGAUUUUGAAAGGUUUAAGGAGGAUUACGAGGCAUGUCCCGAUUUUAAAGAUAUCUUUCUUGAUUUGGAAAGGGGACAAUCAGGCACCACAAAUAGCUUUCGACUUGAGGAGGGUUAUCUCUUUAGAGCCAAUAAAUUGUGCAUCCUUCGAACUUCAAUGCGAGAUUUCAUAGUGUAGGAAGUUCAUACGAGAGGUUUAGCCGGUCACUUUGGGCAUGAUAAGACCAUAGAGGAGGUUGAACGCCAAUUCUAUUGGCCUAGUUUGAAGAAGAUGUGGCUAAAAUUGUCAGUACUUGUAACACUUGUCAAUUGGCCAAACAAAAUAGGCAAAACACAGGCCUAUACACUUCUCUUCAUGUCCCUAAUUGUCCUUAGCAAGAUGUUAGUAUGAAUUUUGUGUUAGGACUUCGACGCACCCUAAACAGACAUGGUUUUAUUUUUGUGGUUGUCGACCGUUUCUUGAAAAUUGCUCAUUUUAUCCCCUGUAGCAAGACCUCAGAUGCGUCCUAGGUUGCCACGUUAUUCUUUAAUAAGAUUGUCAGAUUGUAUGGGCUUUCCAAGACCAUUGUGUCCGAUAGGGAUGUUUGUUUCACUAGCCAUUUUUGGAGAACUUUGUGGCAAAAGAUGGAUACCAAAUUGAAGUUCUCUACGGCCUACCACCCUCAGACUAACCGUCAAACUGAAGUAGUUAAUCAUAGUCUUGGUAAUUUGUUACGAUGUCUACUUCGGGAAAAUCUUCGUAAUUGGGAUUUGAUCCUUCCUGUAGCUCAAAUUGCUUAUAACAGUUCCGUGAAUCUCUCAUUGGGUAUGAGUCUAUUUGAAGUUGUUCACGGGAAUAAGCUUAGGAAGCCGUUAGAUCUCAUUCCUAUGUCCCCAUAGGCUAGAGUCAGUCGAAGCAUUCACACAACAUCUUCGUGAUUUGCAUAUUGAGAUCAAUAAACAACUUGAAGCUAAUAAUACAAAAUAUAAGCUCCAAGCUGAUUUACAUAAACAACAUAUUGAGUUUAACGUUGGGGAUUACGUUAUAGUCCACAUUAGGCCAGAGCGGCGUCUACAUGGACCCGCCUCCAAAUUGCAAGCCCAUAGUGAUGGUCGUUUUAAAAUUUUAAAGCAAGUUAAUCCAAAUGUAUAUGCUGUUGACAUUCCACCACACCUUGGUUACCACUCUACUUUCAAUGUUGAGAACCUAGUAGCUUAUAAAGGUCAUUUCAUUCCCUCAGAUAAUCAUUUAUUACCUCAUUUUGUGGACCUUAAUCCCGACUAUUUGGCCACUUCUAACCCACUACCACCUCUCAAAGCACACACAGAUAAAAUUGAUGCUAUUUUAGGGGAAGAAACUGUAUUAACUAAUGAUGGAGAGGUUCAGCGCUUCCUUGUUCGUUGGGUUGUUCGACCAGAUUCUGACUAUACAUGAAUCUCCAGAGAGACAUUACAACAAUUGGAUCCAGAUUUAUUGGAGCUUUAUCGGAGUCAGCAGGAUCUUCCUUGGCCCAAAUCGCCUCCCGUUCUCCCAAGGGAAGUUGGUAAGGAUACUAGAUUCAGAUCUCCACUGACACAUUUCUACAGACGCCAGAAGAAGCUUGCCCUACCACUCAACUUAUGGUUGGGAGAUUAACUGCAACCUAUAUUGAUAUAUCCACUCUACAGGGUCGAGUUUUCUCCCACCCGGGGAGAGUUGAUGAGGACAUCCAGUUAUUUAUUUUAAGUGACAUCCAAUUUAUUUGUUUCAUUUUAGUUGAACUAUUAUUUUGUUUAUUUUAGUUGGGUUAUUUUUUAUAUGGACUUGUGUAAUGGGCUUGGCCCUCUCUCUUUAGGUUUUUGUUUUUUAAAUCUUUUUCGCCAUGUAAUGGACAGUUGAUGAAUGAAUAGAAAUUUUGGUGGCUUGUGGCGA